CGCGUAGGCGGACAGUUUAGUCGGAGGUGAAAGCCCAGGGCUCAACCUUGGAAUAGCCUUUGAUACUGGCUGUCUUGAGUACGGGAGAGGUGUGUGGAACUCCGAGUGUAGAGGUGAAAUUCGUAGAUAUUCGGAAGAACACCAGUGGCGAAGGCGACACACUGGCCCGUUACUGACGCUGAGGCGCGAAAGCGUGGGGAGCAAACA
Molecule: ribosomal RNA, 207 nt
Filed under: uncultured bacterium
Lineage: Bacteria
Description: partial 16S ribosomal RNA
Rfam family: Bacterial small subunit ribosomal RNA
Source: RNAcentral